AUUAUAUUCUGGUAUGGAGGGGGCAUUAUAUUCUGGUAUGGAGGGGGGCAUUAUAUUCUGGUAUGGAGGGAGCAUUAUAUUCUGGUAUGGAGGGGACCAUUAUAUUCUGGUAUGGAGGGGGUAUUAUAUUCUGGUAUGAGGGGGGAAUUAUAUUCUGGUAUGGAGGGGAGCAUUAUAUUCUGGUAUGGAGGUGGUAUUAUAUUCUGGUAUGGAGGGGGCAUUAUAUUCUGGUAUGGAGGGGGCAUUAUAUUCUGGUAUGGAGGGGGCAUUAUAUUCCGGUAUGGAGGGGGGUAUUAUAUUCCGGUAUGGAGGGGGCAUUAUAUUCUGGUAUGGAGGGGGCAUUAUAUUCUGGUAUGGAGGUUGUAUUAUAUUCUGGUAUGGAGAGGGUAUUAUAUUCUGGUAGGGAGGGGGCAUUAUAUUCUGGUAUGGAGGGGGCAUUAUAUUCUGGUAGGGAGGGGGCAUUAUAUUCUGGUAUGGAGGGGGGGCAUUAUAUUCUGGUAUGGAGGGGGCAUUAUAUUCUGGUAUGGAGGGGGGGCAUUAUAUUCUGGUAUGGAGGGGGGGCAUUAUAUUCUGGUAUGGAGGGAGCAUUAUAUUCUGGUAUGGAGGGGACCAUUAUAUUCUGGUAUGGAGGGGGCAUUAUAUUAUGGUAUGGAGGGGGCAUUAUAUUCUGGUAUGGAGGGGGUAUUAUAUUCUGGUAUGGAGGAGUAUUAUAUUCUGGUAUGGAGGGGGUAUUAUAUUCUGGUAUGGAGGGGGUAUUAUAUUCUGGUAUGGAGGGGGCAUUAUAUUCUGGUAUGGAGGGAGCAUUAUAUUCUGGUAUGGAGGGGGCAUUAUAUUCUGGUAUGGAGGGAGC
RNAcentral lists this long non-coding RNA (850 nucleotides) under Salmo salar (Atlantic salmon). RNAcentral's name for it is "lncRNA (ENSSSAG00000087458.1)". The record is from RNAcentral. Lineage: Eukaryota; Metazoa; Chordata; Actinopteri; Salmoniformes; Salmonidae.